Molecule: long non-coding RNA, 5508 nt
Organism: Passer domesticus (house sparrow)
Lineage: Eukaryota; Metazoa; Chordata; Aves; Passeriformes; Passeridae
Exons: 2
Source: RefSeq, a predicted model, not a curated record
GUAUCUUUAAACUAGCCUUGCAGCUCAUUAAGGUAACUGUAAGAAAAAACGUUAUGACCUGAAGUACCUGCAAUGUCCCUGUUUGCAUUUCAUCUCCUGUAUCAUCUGCAGUCUACCAUCUGAUCUGCUACUGACACUGCAAAUGACUUCCUGAUCCAACAGAGAACUAUUUCUUUUAGCUUCUUAAGUACCAACUUACAAUGAUUUCAUCUUCAGCACAUUUCCCAAGUUUGUUUACUGAGCUGUUGGGAUUUCCUCAAGAAGUACUCUACAACUUUUUGAACUUCUUUGGUAAAGUCACUAAAACACAAGACCUGGUAUGAGACUGCCUAACAGUUCUGCAGGCUCUCCAUCCUUCACGAGAACUUGGGAGGUAUCACAGCUAAGGGCUGGCAACUCAAGACAGUAUGAGUUCUGAAGUUACUUGAAAUUUUCUUUAAAGUCAGCUCAAGCAAAUCAUCCAUUCCCCAUUUAGGAUCAGCAUCACAGUUUUUCAAGUCUUACCUACCCAGCUCUCUGCUGCUAUUUCCUGUGGCUGAGCUAAGACUUCAGGGCUGCAGGCACUUACAAAGAAAAGCUCAUGCCCAAUGGGUUAAGAGUUGUUAUUUUCAUUAACUUUAAAUCAUAAAUAUGAUUUCCACUUGAAAAGGGAACACUUCAUUUAACAGACACAGUGGCUCUGAUGGGUAAUGAAGGGUUUCGAAGGAAAUUAAAAAAAGGGAAGCAAGGGGGAAAAGAAAAAUAACACUUCCAGAAAGUUUUCCGAAGGAAAUGAGUAACCACUUGUUAUUAAAUGAUAAAUCACAGUCCUCAGGAAGGGGCAUUGUCUGUGGUCUAUUUUUAAUGAGAAAAUACCCGUCACUGGCACAAGGGCGAUAUGGGACACAUCUGUGGACAGUGGGAGUGUUCACUGCGAGGUAUCAUCUCACUGCUGCUAUUCCCAUCACUUAUCAGCAACAAAAACAGGAUGAAAAGAACAUGGCUUAGAGGGAAAAAAAUGCAUCCAGGGCAACAAACAAGGGCUGCUGUUCUCCAUGGAUGGAAGACAGGAGGAAACACUAGAGACCCAGGAGAGGCUGAGUGUAGUCUUAGGCUUUGCUUGUUUUCCUGUGUGAGGGAUGCACAUGAAGCCACCAGGAAGCAAAUCUGUGCUGACCCAAAUGUCUCUGGGGGGGGGUUAGGUAACCUCCAACAUGCAAUUGCAUCCUCUUUGUCCCCAGGAUGGGGACACAUUAGGUACACAGCCAAAAGAAGCCCUCUUUUCCCUAAGAUUUGCAACUAACACAGAGUUUUCUGGGGAAGCACCUGAUGCUGCAACACCACUGAUGCUGAACACUUGAAAGGUGUAAUUAGCCUGAUUUUAUGCUGAUAAAUGAGUCCCAGAUUCUGGUGGCAAAGUGACUCGGCAGCUGGGAACAGACACACUGUCAAGGGAAGGGAAGCAAAAGACAGUAGAGUUAGCUGGAGGUUCAGGUAUAAGCACAGCCUCAAAACAAAAUCAGUGGCCCAGACCUGGCCAUCAGGCAGCAAGACUCCCUGCACACCGCUGAAGAGAUCAUUUUUGGCAUCUUAUGUCAAGCCCAACUCUCCCAAGUCCCAGCCCAAGCAAUGGGGUUCAGCUGCAGCCCAGGUUCCCCAUGCAUUCAACACAUUCUGUCCCAACACCACACACCCCCACAAACUUUCCAGACUGCAGCAGUAACGAGCAGAAACCUAUGGCCAAUGUGCUGAAAUACCAUGCACUAUGCCUGAUUUUACUGUGAGGGUGACCAAGCUUGCUCAGGAAGAUUGUGGAGUCCCCAUCUGUGGAGAUAUGCAAAAGCCAUCUGGACAUGGUCCUGGGCAACUGGCUGAAGCUACCUACCACCUGCACAGGUCCCUUCCAGCUUCAGCCAUCCUGUGACUUUUUAAUUGCAAAGCCACCUGCAUUGCAAUCCUUCGCUUUCACUGACCCACAAAAAAGACUGUAAUUAUUCAGUUUCUCAACUAUUGCUGACAUUCUUUCCAUAGAUGAGGUUUAAGCCUUUUUUCUCCCUUUUCUUUUUAAUAGGAACUUAGCCCCAAAGUUCACAGCAGAUUAUAAAACAUGCACACACACAUCACUCUUCCAAAACAGCAUUUUAAAGUGUUUGCUUGAUUUUCUUUUUCCUGACACCCAUAAACCACCACCCUGCUGGUCUAAUUCAUUGUGUGGCAUUUUGCAACGAAGCGUAAAAUGGUAUUAAUCAUAGCUCUGAAAAAACACAAACUUCUUCUCUGAGGUUUGAAAUAACCAUUUGGAAGAAAAACUUCCAGGAGCCAGAAGGACUGACAGGGCUGGAGACUGAAGUCCUUGUUUUCAAAGGCCAAGUGUAUCCCAAUAUAUCCCUUGGACAGUUGCCCCAAGCCAGAGUUAUAAUACUUUAUUCUUCAGUUCAAGUAGCAAGAAGGAGAUUUGGUACAAAAUCAGUACAAAUACCUAAAGGGAAUAGGGAGGAAAAUGUGUGGUAAAUCUAAUGGGAGGCCUGAGCUCAGACUGCAGCUUUGGUGAAAGUGUCUGAAGCCUCAGCUGCCUCUCAUCUCCAGGAUGUUGCAGCCAGAAAGACCAGAUAAGGGUACCCCCCUCUCACAGGCAGCACCUGAGCAUCAGGGACAGUGUGCUGGCACUCACCAAUGGCAUAGUGUUGCCUCAGCCACAGGCAGAAGCACAGAGAUCUGCAAAGGCUAUGCCAAAAAAUAAAAAUCAUUAUCAUCUUUGUUUUCUGGCCAAACACCACUGGAGAAAAUUACCUUCUACAUAAAUCAAGUUCUUUGUUCACUUUUGUGGAUUCAGUGCUUCUCACAGAAGGGGAGCUUCUGUCAAAGACGGAGUCAGAAAAAAACAUGAAACUCUUUUUUAAGAUAGAUGCUUUAGCAGCUAUUUGCCAAAGGCUUUGGAAUCCCUCUGCUUCAGUGCUAAAACAUUAAUAAUUUAAACACCUUCUUUUAAAUUAGGAAGGGCACUAAAAGAAACUAUUGAAAGAGAAAAACCAUCAAGCUUGCCACCACCUCCAACUCAAAUACUGACAUUUUCUCUCAAACCUCAAAAGUAGUUUCAACAACCUGAUAAAUGAGAAAUUUACGUUUUUCUUACCUGUCCUUCCCUCACACUUUCUCCUCUGCCAUUAAUCUUCCAGGCAAAGCAGCUGACCACAGGGCACACCAAUCAUCCCAGUACAAAAAGACCCAGCAUGCUGUAACCAGGGGCAGGGGUGGUGCAAACAGUUGUAAAAUGUUUCACAGGGCAUGGCAAACAUUUCGUGUUUAUUAUUAUAUUAGUGGGGUGGGAUGGGAUGGGAUUAGGAUAGGAUAGGAUAGGAUAGGAUAGGAUAGGAUAGGAUAGGAUAGGAUAGGAUAGGAUAGGAUAGGAUAGGAUAGGAUAGGAUAGGAUAGUUGGAAGGGACUGCAAGCAUCCUUCUGGUUCAACUGCAAGUACUUUGUGUUAGAAGAGCAAGACAGAGAGAGCAAGACAGAGGGAGAGAGAAAAUAAUUAUUUUCUCUUCUUUUUAAUCUGUAACCCCAGGCUCCUGUGCAUGAUGAAGUUCCCUGCUUAUUCAAAGCCUCUACGCCUCUGCCUGUCUCAGCUACCAAUGCCUUCCUUAUCAGCACAUUUUAUUCUUUUCUAUUCUUUGAAGAGCUCUGCAAAUUGAAAAAAGUGUAUUAUCUUCAUAUUUAAGAGAAAAAAAAAAAGGCUGGCAGAGGAAGGUGUACCUCACUAUCAAGGCUUUUGCAAGAGCAGGAACAAUGUGGCAGGCCAAGAUCCAUGCUGUCUACACAGACCCCAUCAGGGACCCCACCUCCUGCAGCAGCAGCUGGCCCAGGCACAAACCUCUGUCCUGGUAUCAAGGUGGCCAGACAAAAGCACACACUUGGAGACACAUCCCCCCUCUCCCAUGAAGAUGUAUGAACUUCAGAUGGAUUUGGACCAGUCCAAAUUUGAAAAGAUGUGUACAGUCAGGGGGCACCAUCCAUUUACUCCAUACCACGUCUUCUCUUGAAGAAAACCUCUUUGAUUUGAGUCUCCACUGCAGCCAUGCAAGCAAUGGAAAAAUGCAACCUUACGUCUCUCCAAAGGAUGCUUAGACACAUCUCUUCCUCGGGGGAAAAACGAGGAUUAACUAUUCAAAACCUACAUGCCAGGCAAUCUGGUGACCAAGUGCCUCCCCCCGAUAGCUUUUCCAGACAGUCAUGAACUUUAAACUAUUUUUUGUCUCCAACUCUCAGCAGCUCCUAAACAGUGUGAGCUAAAUAUUUAUAGAAGAAUCACUGUUUGUUUAAGUUCCAAUCCAUACUCCCUGAAGUCCAAUACGCCCAGAUCCUGAAAUGACAGCUGAUUACAGAAGAGCCUGAAAACAACGCAGAGGGGACACUGAGACUUACCAGAUCUUUCAUCUGGAUGUUUUCUCCACUGGUUGUUUUGGGGAGCCUUUCCCAGCUUCUUUCAAAAGAAGAGGAACUGCAGCUCUUGCCAGCCAAGAUCCAUGCUUCAUCAGACACUUUGGCACAGCUCUGCUCAAUGACAGAGAGCCCCAGGUUUUGGGGAGCCCCCACUGUGCUCCAGAGCUAGGCACAUGGAUUGCUGCUGGAAAUGCAAUGGAAGCACCCAAGCUGCAGAACAGCAGGCACUAAGGCACGGGAGAACACCCCAACACCAGUGCCACAGCUGGGGCACAGACAAUGUCUGUCACUCUGUCACUUCAGCUUAACAAGUUCUACCCUCACUCAUCUCUUCCGGACUCAGCAACAGCUUUUCCAAUUUACCAUGGCGUCCACUCCACCUGAACAAAACAGUCCUCCCAUACCUUACAAAAGAACUAAGGAUACCCACACCUUCUGCCUAACUAAACAGCCUGUCAGAAGUUGAAAAGACACCUGUAUAAGCUGACACACUACUGCUAUAAUAGCAGUAUAUACUAGCCAAGUCCAACAAGUCAGCUCCUUACAUAUGCUGUUGCACAGUUUCAUGGGUGAGGCAAGAAAAAAAUAAAACUGUGCUUCAUCCCCUGUAAUCAUGUGUGACCAUAGUUGCCCUUUUGGAAUGUAACUGGGGACUCAUCACCACAAAGGAGCACACAAGAUGCAAGGCUACCAAGCAGGCACAACUCUAUGACAACACAUCCCAAAUGAACAUCUCACCCUGCAGACCUCAGUGUCCAGCUUUAGAGGGACAGCAGAGGCUGGGAGACAACACCCAAGCAAACACACUUCCAAUGACCACCCAAGGCCGAUGUGUCUUUGCUAAAGUCCAGAGACCUCAAACCAGCACCUACUUUGAACAUGCCCUUGGAUGACUAGAUGUUGCUGAAGAACUCAAAAACCCCUCUGACAGCUGCUGCUGUGUCUAUCCCAUCAAGAUGAAUUCUUCCACUGCAGCAAUAUGGGACUCAGCAAAGUUGCUCCAUCCUGGGGUUCUCCAAGGGCUAGAAGGACUCCUUGCACAGGGUGUUUCAAGGCAUUUAGCCCCAAUAAAAUAGAAAAUGUGGUUUUCAA